RNAcentral lists this unclassified non-coding RNA (200 nucleotides) under soil metagenome. RNAcentral describes it as "partial contains internal transcribed spacer 2 and large subunit ribosomal RNA". The record is from RNAcentral.
AGGAGGUCGGCUCCCCUGAAAAACAUUAGUGGUAUCUGAGCAGAAGAAACUACUACAGGUGUGAUAAUUAUCUAUGCCUUUCAGUAUGCUGCAUAAAAACAGAUUGCACUGCUUCUAACUAGUGAAAACCUCUCUACAAAGGAGGGGCCACGUUUGACGAAUUUGACCUCAAAUCAGGUAGGACUACCCGCUGAACUUAA